GAUGAACGCUGGCGGCGUGCCUAAUACAUGCAAGUCGAGCGAACAGACGAGGAGCUUGCUCCUCUGACGUUAGCGGCGGACGGGUGAGUAACACGUGGAUAACCUACCUAUAAGACUGGGAUAACUUCGGGAAACCGGAGCUAAUACCGGAUAAUAUAUUGAACCGCAUGGUUCAAUAGUGAAAGACGGUUUUGCUGUCACUUAUAGAUGGAUCCGCGCCGCAUUAGCUAGUUGGUAAGGUAACGGCCUACCAAGGCAACGAUGCGUAGCCGACCUGAGAGGGGGGUCGGCCACACUGGAGCGGAGACGCGGUCCAGACUCCUACGGGAGGCAGCAGUAUGGAAUGUGCCGCAAUGGGGGAAAGCCUGACGGAGCAACGCCGCGUGAGUGAUGAAGGUCUUCGGAUCGUGAAACUCUGUUAUUAGGGAAGAACAAAUGUGUAAGUAACUAUGCACGUCUUGACGGUACCUAAUCAGAAAGCCACGGCUAACUACGUG
RNAcentral lists this ribosomal RNA (497 nucleotides) under uncultured bacterium. RNAcentral's name for it is "partial 16S ribosomal RNA". It matches the Rfam family "Bacterial small subunit ribosomal RNA", at positions 28 to 507 of the family's 1533-position model. The record is from RNAcentral.